CAAUGAUCUGGCUACUGUUUCAACAAAGGAGGAUUUGACACGGCUGAAGACACCAAGUACUUACACCAAAGACACUUGGAUCGGACUGUCCGAUGACCCUGCUUCAUGGAAAAAGGUGAUGGGGAAUGACUCCAACUCCUGGAGAUGGUCUGCCACACGGACCACCAGCCCCGGAGGGUUCUAGAAGUGGCACUCUGAUGAACCCAACAACUACGGCAGCCACAACUACUGUGUACAUAUCAGUAAUGGACUUUGGUGAUGGACUGUUUUCAUACAGCUCCUUUCAUUUGUUUCACAGUUCACAAACUGGGCGGACGGCCAGCCUGAUAAUAACCAGUUUAAUCAACACUGUGUUAAAGUUGACAGCUCCCGUGAAUGGCACGAUGCAUAUUGUUACCAGAUGUUUGCAAUUCAUUGUGAAAAAGAUCCAUGCACACUUGCUGAACAUGGGACUUACUGACGUGAACCUCAAGUGGAAAAUAGCUCCAAAACGAAUUCCUCACGAAUAAAUGGGACCUGAGUGAAAUAGUGGCUUGUAGGGAUUCUACAUUUUCGAGUCAUGAUUAUUCUGAGGAAUAUUAUUGUGAUUUUAUGAUCAUUCAUGAUGAUUGGAAUCAAGUAAGACACCGAGAGUUUGUCCAAACCUUUACAGUGCAGUCUAUAUGUUCACAAAAAAGAAACAAGCUGUUAUAUGUAAAUCUUUAUGUUUUUCUAAGGGUUGUUUUAAUUGUAAAGCUAUUGAACAUUCAGC
Molecule: long non-coding RNA, 751 nt
Filed under: Neogobius melanostomus (round goby)
Lineage: Eukaryota; Metazoa; Chordata; Actinopteri; Gobiiformes; Gobiidae
Description: lncRNA (ENSNMLG00000003017.1)
Source: RNAcentral